UUAUUCGGCAAAAAAGUGGAACGAAAAAGUGUAACAAUGGUUUACAAACAACAAUGACAUUAUUGUUACCUACGUCGUCUGUUUACUUGCCAUUGUUGCCGUCAACAAUGGGCUUUCGUUAGUGUGGAAAGAGUUGAGCUGUGAAUUGCUUGUAGAAGAAGUGCGUCGUAGUUUGUUGCGUCAUACUAUGUACAAGAUGGAUGACAUUGAAGCUAAAUGACUCCAUAAAGCAGAAUAUAUGAGACAGUACAGAAAAAGUAAAAAUAUAGAAGUUGUUGAGUCUGGAAAUUGCUCCUGCACAAAAUAAAACACCCUUAUCCGUCAUAUACGAUGAACAUGCAGAAGAGUUGUCAUUUCCAGGCAUCUGUUUAGGAAGAUCUAGGCAAUUUAAAGAACAUCACAAGGUAACACCAUUCAUGAUGGCAACCAAUUGUAAAGCGGGUAUAAAGGAAAUAUUUAUAAUAAAGCCAAUAUAUAAACUUCCUUUCCGUAUAGACGUAUUUACGUCAAAUUCUCCGGAACCAUGGUUCCACUGACAAUUUUUGUUGAGGUACGGACUGAUUGUUGUUUUUCUUGUUGUUGUUUAGACUAACGUCGUCAUUGCAAUUAUUGUAUUAUACAGGAUGGCGGACGAAAUGUUACAAUGUGUCAUCUUGAAGAAAAAUCUGUCAUUUAUCUGGAUCAGAAACUGUUUUGCGUGAUCAGAAGCAAAAUAUGGAGAACGUGAACGUAUGCAAUUCCAGUUUAAGUUCUUCCCUAGAACAAACAAUUUACAAGUGAGUCUUCCUGCAAGCUUAUUAUCCUCCGUGCAAGUUGACAUU
Non-coding RNA from Zootermopsis nevadensis, 821 nucleotides. NCBI's taxonomy places the organism in Eukaryota, Metazoa, Arthropoda, Insecta, Blattodea, Termopsidae. The record is from RefSeq and is a predicted model, not a curated record.